RNAcentral lists this ribosomal RNA (288 nucleotides) under uncultured bacterium. Its description in RNAcentral is "partial 16S ribosomal RNA". It matches the Rfam family "Bacterial small subunit ribosomal RNA", at positions 333 to 617 of the family's 1533-position model. The record is from RNAcentral.
UCGCUCCUACGGGAGGCAGCAGUGAGGAAUAUUGGUCAAUGGGCGGAAGCCUGAACCAGCCAAGUCGCGUGAGGGAAUAAGGCCCUACGGGUCGUAAACCUUUUUUGCCGGGGAGCAAGGGCGGGGACGUGUCCCGGCCCGGAGAGUACCCGGAGAAAAAGCAUCGGCUAACUCCGUGCCAGCAGCCGCGGUAAUACGGAGGAUGCGAGCGUUAUCCGGAUUUAUUGGGUUUAAAGGGUGCGUAGGCGGGCUUUUAAGUCAGCGGUAAAACUCAGGGGCUCAACCCCG